GAGCGCGAAAGUCCCUUCGGGGGCGAGUAGAGCGGCGAACGGGUGAGUAACACGUGAGAAUAUACCUUUUAGUGAAGGAUACCCUCGAGAAAUCGAGGUUAAUACUGCAUACGUCCCUUCGGGGAGAAAGAUGGCUUUUAUGCUGUCGCUGAAAGAUUAGCUCGCGUACUAUUAGCUAGUUGGUGGGGUAACGGCCUACCAAGGCGACGAUCAGUAGCUGGUCUGAGAGGAUGAUCAGCCACACUGGGACUGAGACACGGCCCAGACUCC
Molecule: ribosomal RNA, 270 nt
Filed under: uncultured bacterium
Lineage: Bacteria
Description: partial 16S ribosomal RNA
Rfam family: Bacterial small subunit ribosomal RNA
Source: RNAcentral